Molecule: long non-coding RNA, 273 nt
Organism: Cucurbita maxima (winter squash)
Lineage: Eukaryota; Viridiplantae; Streptophyta; Magnoliopsida; Cucurbitales; Cucurbitaceae
Exons: 3
Source: RefSeq, a predicted model, not a curated record
UGUGGCCUUCACAUUUUAAAUGUUGUCAAGAUUCUCUCUUCAAGUCAAUUAUGUAACUCAAUUUUACUGGUGUGAACUGAAGUUAGAUUCGUAAAAUAAAUUUUCUUUUUUUACCAAUUCUUGCAUGGAGUCCCUAUGAAAAUGGUUAUUUCAUUGUUUUAAAUGUGAGCAUGUGUGAUACUGGUGCAUAUCAAGAAGUUUGGUUUCUUGACCCACGAUUGUGCUUAUUUAGUUAAUUGGUUAUCUGAGCUUAAUGUUGUAUGAGGUUGAAGA